RNAcentral lists this ribosomal RNA (492 nucleotides) under uncultured bacterium. Its description in RNAcentral is "partial 16S ribosomal RNA". It matches the Rfam family "Bacterial small subunit ribosomal RNA", at positions 29 to 507 of the family's 1533-position model. The record is from RNAcentral.
AGUGAACGCUGGCGGUAGGCCUAACACAUGCAAGUCGAACGGCAGCACAGUAAGAGCUUGCUCUUACGGGUGGCGAGUGGCGGACGGGUGAGGAAUACAUCGGAAUCUACUUUUUCGUGGGGGAUAAUGUAGGGAAACUUACGCUAAUACCGCAUACGACCUACGGGUGAAAGCAGGGGAUCUUCGGACCUUGCGCGAUUGAAUGAGCCGAUGUCGGAUUAGCUAGUUGGCGGGGUAAAGGCCCACCAAGGCGACGAUCCGUAGCUGGUCUGAGAGGAUGAUCAGCCACACUGGAACUGAGACACGGUCCAGACUCCUACGGGAGGCGGCAGUGGGGAAUAUUGGACAAUGGGCGCAAGCCUGAUCCAGCCAUACCGCGUGGGUGAAGAAGGCCUUCGGGUUGUAAAGCCCUUUUGUCGGGAAAGAAAAGCAGCAGGUUAAUACCCCGCUGUUCUGACGGUACCCAAAGAAUAAGCACCGGCUAACUUCGUG